Molecule: ribosomal RNA, 372 nt
Filed under: uncultured Glomeromycotina
Lineage: Eukaryota; Fungi; Glomeromycota
Description: LSU rRNA
Source: RNAcentral
UUGAAAGGGAAACGAUUGAAGUCAGUCGUACCUGCGGGUAAUCAGCCUUUUGGGUGUGAUUAUGUGGAGCGUGAGGAGCUAAUCGCCUUCAUCUUUGCAUAUUCGUGCACUUUGGGUGUACUUGCUCGUGUGGUAGGUUAACAUCAAUUUUGAUCAUCAUAAAAUGAUUGAAGGAAUGUAGCUUCGAUCUCGUAUUGAAGUGUUAUAGCCUUUGGUAGAUGUGAUGAUCGGGAUUGAGGAUUGCAACGGAUACCCUUCGGGGCUACCUGUCUGAUCUCUGAAAGUUGCUCUGGUGCUGAAAGCUUGCUUAUGGUAUCAAAGUUGACGUUCAAUAGGUUAGAACGGGAUAAAUUCGUUAAGGAUGUUGACGUA